UUUACUCUUAAGAAGUUAUUCUUUAAGAAAUCUAUUCAGAUAUUAUACUCUAUCCCAACAAACUGUCUGAUGAUGGACAAAAUGUCUGAAAAUGCUUAGUGGGAAGUAAUUUUAAAAGAGUAAACUCCAAAAAAAUAAAAUGUUGACAUCUGAAUUGCUAUAUAUCUAAUUCAACAUUAUCACAUAAAUUUGUCAAAUAUUUGGACAGGAUGAACAGUAUCCACUUCUUGACUUCCUAGAUUUCUGAAUUUAUGUAAAAUAAGUUUACAUUUCACAAAUAAAAGGAUUACAUAUUAUGCACUUUCCAAUAUUUUUUAAGAGCUUCAGAAAUAAAUGCUA
Molecule: long non-coding RNA, 339 nt
Organism: Centruroides sculpturatus (bark scorpion)
Lineage: Eukaryota; Metazoa; Arthropoda; Arachnida; Scorpiones; Buthidae
Exons: 3
Source: RefSeq, a predicted model, not a curated record